RNAcentral lists this ribosomal RNA (253 nucleotides) under uncultured bacterium. RNAcentral's name for it is "partial 16S ribosomal RNA". It matches the Rfam family "Bacterial small subunit ribosomal RNA", at positions 524 to 776 of the family's 1533-position model. The record is from RNAcentral.
UACGUAGGUGGCAAGCGUUGUCCGGAUUUACUGGGCGUAAAGAGCGCGCAGGCGGCCAAGUGAGUCGAAUGUGAAAGCCCCCGUCUUAACUGGGGAGGGUCAUUCGAUACUGCUCGGCUCGAAGACAGGAGAGGGAAGCGGAAUUCCCGGUGUAGUGGUGAAAUGCGUAGAUAUCGGGAGGAACACCAGUGGCGAAGGCGGCUUUCUGGCCUGUUCUUGACGCUGAGGCGCGAAAGCUAGGGGAGCAAACGGG